RNAcentral lists this transfer RNA (82 nucleotides) under Natronomonas sp. RNAcentral's name for it is "tRNA-Ser". It matches the Rfam family "tRNA". Rfam says of the family: Transfer RNA (tRNA) molecules are approximately 80 nucleotides in length. Their secondary structure includes four short double-helical elements and three loops (D, anti-codon, and T loops). Further hydrogen bonds mediate the characteristic L-shaped molecular structure. tRNAs have two regions of fundamental functional importance: the anti-codon, which is responsible for specific mRNA codon recognition, and the 3' end, to which the tRNAs corresponding amino acid is attached (by aminoacyl-tRNA synthetases). tRNAs cope with the degeneracy of the genetic code in two manners: having more than one tRNA (with a specific anti-codon) for a particular amino acid; and 'wobble' base-pairing, i.e. permitting non-standard base-pairing at the 3rd anti-codon position. The record is from RNAcentral. RNAcentral also lists the same sequence under 1 other name. Lineage: Archaea; Methanobacteriati; Methanobacteriota; Halobacteria; Halobacteriales; Natronomonadaceae.
GGUGGGAUGGCAGAGUGGACUAUUGCGUCUGCCUUGAAAGCAGAUGGCGCAAGCCUCCUGGGUUCGAAUCCCAGUCCCACCG